AGCUACAUACAACCGCUCAAAUAUGGGUUUAAGAACGUAAUGUCACCUAUAUAUGGCGUGACUUAAAAUUUAG
Staphylococcus microti is the source of this 73-nucleotide non-coding RNA. The record is from Rfam. Lineage: Bacteria; Bacillati; Bacillota; Bacilli; Caryophanales; Staphylococcaceae.